CGCGGCCUAUCAGCUUGUUGGUGAGGUAACGGCUCACCAAGGCAUCGACGGGUAGCUGGUCUGAGAGGACGAUCAGCCACACUGGGACUGAGACACGGCCCAGACUCCUACGGGAGGCAGCAGUAGGGAAUCUUGCGCAAUGGGCGAAAGCCUGACGCAGCAACGCCGCGUGGGGGAUGAAUGCCUUCGGGUUGUAAACCCCUUUCAGCAGGGACGAAAAUGACGGUACCUGCAGAAGAAGCUCCGGCCAACUACGUGCCAGCAGCCGCGGUAAUACGUAGGGAGCGAGCGUUGUCCGGAAUUAUUGGGCGUAAAGAGCUCGUAGGCGGUUCAGUAAGUCGGGUGUGAAAACUCAAGGCUCAACCUUGAGACGCCACUCGAUACUGCUGUGACUUGAGUCCGGUAGAGGAGUGUGGAAUUCCUGGUGUAGCGGUGAAAUGCGCAGAUAUCGGGAGGAACACCAGCGGCGAAGGCGGCACUCUGGGCCGGUACUGACGCUGAGGAGCGAAAGCAUGGGGAGCAAACAGGAUUAGAUACCCUGGUAGUCCAUGCCGUAAACGUUGGGCACUAGGUAUGGGAUCAUAUCAACGGAUUCCGUGCCGUAGCUAACGCAUUAAGUGCCCCGCCUGGGGAGUACGG
This 639-nucleotide ribosomal RNA is filed under the name uncultured Actinomycetes bacterium. RNAcentral's name for it is "bacterial SSU rRNA". It matches the Rfam family "Bacterial small subunit ribosomal RNA", at positions 232 to 885 of the family's 1533-position model. The record is from RNAcentral. Lineage: Bacteria; Bacillati; Actinomycetota; Actinomycetes.